Molecule: transfer RNA, 73 nt
Filed under: Cognatiluteimonas weifangensis
Lineage: Bacteria; Pseudomonadati; Pseudomonadota; Gammaproteobacteria; Lysobacterales; Lysobacteraceae
Description: Lysobacter sp. WF-2 tRNA-Val
Source: RNAcentral
GAUUGAUCUGGAAAGGGCUGAUAUUGCCUUCACACGGCAAGGGUCGCAGGUUCGAACCCUGCACCGCCCACCA